AAGUCGUAACAAGGUUUCCGUAGGUGAACCUGCGGAAGGAUCAUUAACACGAAAUCUACGCCGAUUGGCUUGGCUUAACCGCUGACGCCGUCGGUGUACAUUCACAUCAAUGUUGACUGAGUUUUUCUCCCUAGUAGCUCCGGCCUCGGCUGGCAGCACUCUAGGAUCAUGUCGUGUCCCCUGGCAUUCGAUUGCAAGCCCGGCCUACGAUUCGUCGUCCGCUGGGUGGGGCAUGGCGCCUAUUCAACCACACACCUAACACAUAAAUCGUACUGAAACACGGUCGAUGCAUAACUCGUUAUGAAUCGAUCUGACUUGACUGUAAUGGUCAAAUCAACACAUAUACAACUCUUAACAACGGAUAUCUCGGUUGAC
This 375-nucleotide unclassified non-coding RNA is filed under the name fungal sp. RNAcentral describes it as "partial internal transcribed spacer region". The stretch from base 1 to 46 matches the Rfam family "Eukaryotic small subunit ribosomal RNA", at positions 1786 to 1831 of the family's 1831-position model. Lineage: Eukaryota; Fungi. The record is from RNAcentral.